This 391-nucleotide ribosomal RNA is filed under the name uncultured bacterium. Its description in RNAcentral is "bacterial SSU rRNA". It matches the Rfam family "Bacterial small subunit ribosomal RNA", at positions 21 to 414 of the family's 1533-position model. The record is from RNAcentral.
GACUCAGAUUGAACGCUGGCGGCAUGCCUUACACAUGCAUAUCGAACGCCAGCGCGGACUUUGGUCUGGCGGCGAGUGGCGAACGGGUGAGUAAUAUAUCGGAACGUACCCUGUUGUGGGGGAUAACUAGUGGAAAGAUUAGCUAAUACCGCAUACGACCUGAGGGUGAAAGAGGGGGACCGCAAGGCCUCACGCCGCAGGAGCGGCCGAGGUCUGAUUAGCUAGUUGGUGGGGUAAAGGCCCACCAAGGCGACGAUCAGUAGCUGGUCUGAGAGGACGAUCAGCCACACUGGGACUGAGACACGGCCCAGACUCCUACGGGAGGCAGCAGUGGGGAAUUUUGGACAAUGGGGGCAACCCUGAUCCAGCAAUGCCGCGUGUGUGAAGAAGG